This 202-nucleotide long non-coding RNA is filed under the name Lathyrus oleraceus (garden pea). RNAcentral describes it as "Pisum sativum (pea) long non-coding RNA (PSAT_LNC022069)". The record is from RNAcentral. Lineage: Eukaryota; Viridiplantae; Streptophyta; Magnoliopsida; Fabales; Fabaceae.
AAACAUUCAGGUCCAUAGUAUUUUUAUCAGAUUUUCAACCAUAACAAGUAUAUUUUAGAUGAUCUCAUCUUUGAUCAUCUCAUUUAAAUACAUUUUCAACACUCUUAUGUUCUUUUUAAGUCAUAAAAGAAAAAUCCAUUAUUGUGUUGUCGCUACCAUUAUAAGUAUCAUGUAGUUUUUAUUAUCACUUUUCUUGUUUUUU